UUCCAUGUCCCUUGGUCCGCUGGGAUAAGGAGGGGGAGCUUGGGGGAGGAGAUUGAUACUUCCCUGCCUUUCGGGUCGAUUGAGAGGUUGUGACCAGUUUUGGUGGCUGUGGCUCUUGAAGCCACAUGGACCAAAACCUUACCAGCCAUUGAUCGGAUAAGAGAGCAGCGAAGUACUUGCAGUGGCAGAGGCUGUGGGCCGAGAGGUGGAGGGUAUCACAACCCAAUACAACUCCACCACCGCCAUUUCUCUCCACUCUCUUUUUCUUUCUUUUUUGGAUUCCAAUCUCUCCUCUUUCAGUAAUCUUUCUUUCUCAUAUACGGUCUUAAGCAAAUUCAUUACCUCAACC
This 349-nucleotide long non-coding RNA is filed under the name Prunus persica (peach). RNAcentral describes it as "long non-coding RNA (PPER_LNC000722)". The record is from RNAcentral. Lineage: Eukaryota; Viridiplantae; Streptophyta; Magnoliopsida; Rosales; Rosaceae.